UCGUAGCCCGGAUAGCAGCGGCAUCCUUCCUGUGGCUCCUUUAGCCACAGGAAGAUACAGCGGAUAGCCGGAAAUAGC
Molecule: small RNA, 78 nt
Filed under: Flavobacterium xueshanense
Lineage: Bacteria; Pseudomonadati; Bacteroidota; Flavobacteriia; Flavobacteriales; Flavobacteriaceae
Description: Flavo-1 RNA
Rfam family: Flavo-1 RNA
Source: RNAcentral